CUACGGGUCGCUGCAGUGGGGAAUAUUGGACAAUGGGGGAAACCCUGAUCCAGCAAUGCCGCGUGUGUGAAGAAGGCCUGCGGGUUGUAAAUCACUUUCGGUUGGGAGGACUGCUUCUAGCACUAAUAUUGUUGGAAGUUGACGUUACCUUCAGAAGAAGCACCGGCUAACUCCGUGCCAGCAGCAGCGGUAAUACGGAGGGUGCAAGCGUUAAUCGGAAUUACUGGGCGUAAAGCGCGCGUAGGCGGCUAGAUCAGUCGGGUGUGAAAGCCCCGGGCUUAACCUGGGAACUGCAUCCGAUACUGUCUAGCUUGAGUACAGGAGAGGAGAGUGGAAUUCCACAUGUAGCGGUGAAAUGCGUAGAUAUGUGGAGGAACACCAAUGGCGAAGGCAGCUCUCUGGCCUGAUACUGACGCUGAGGUGCGAAAGCGUGGGGAGCAAACAGGAUUAGAUACCCGGGUAGUC
This 465-nucleotide ribosomal RNA is filed under the name uncultured bacterium. RNAcentral's name for it is "partial 16S ribosomal RNA". It matches the Rfam family "Bacterial small subunit ribosomal RNA", at positions 339 to 795 of the family's 1533-position model. The record is from RNAcentral.